This 686-nucleotide ribosomal RNA is filed under the name uncultured bacterium. RNAcentral describes it as "bacterial SSU rRNA". It matches the Rfam family "Bacterial small subunit ribosomal RNA", at positions 34 to 768 of the family's 1533-position model. The record is from RNAcentral.
CGCUGGCGGCAGGCUUAACACAUGCAAGUCGAGCGCCCCGCAAGGGGAGCGGCAGACGGGUGAGUAACGCGUGGGAACGUACCUUUUGCUACGGAAUAACUCAGGGAAACUUGUGCUAAUACCGUAUGUGCCCUUCGGGGGAAAGAUUUAUCGGCAAAGGAUCGGCCCGCGUUGGAUUAGCUAGUUGGUGAGGUAAAGGCUCACCAAGGCGACGAUCCAUAGCUGGUCUGAGAGGGUGAUCAGCCACACUGGGACUGAGACACGGCCCAGACUCCUACGGGAGGCAGCAGUGGGGAAUAUUGGACAAUGGGCGCAAGCCUGAUCCAGCCAUGCCGCGUGAGUGAUGAAGGCCCUAGGGUUGUAAAGCUCUUUCACCGGUGAAGAUAAUGACGGUAACCGGAGAAGAAGCCCCGGCUAACUUCGUGCCAGCAGCCGCGGUAAUACGAAGGGGGCUAGCGUUGUUCGGAUUUACUGGGCGUAAAGCGCACGUAGGCGGACUUUUAAGUCAGGGGUGAAAUCCCGGGGCUCAACCCCGGAACUGCCUUUGAUACUGGAAGUCUUGAGUAUGGUAGAGGUGAGUGGAAUUCCGAGUGUAGAGGUGAAAUUCGUAGAUAUUCGGAGGAACACCAGUGGCGAAGGCGGCUCACUGGACCAUUACUGACGCUGAGGUGCGAAAGCGUGGGGAG